GACGAACGCUGGCGGCGUGCUUAACACAUGCAAGUCGAACGGAAAGGCCCUGCUUGCAGGGUACUCGAGUGGCGAACGGGCGAGUAACACGUGGGUGAUCUGCCCUGCACUUCGGGAUAAGCCUGGGAAACUGGGUCUAAUACCGGAUAGGAGCCAUUUUUAGUGUGAUGGUUGGAAAGUUUUUUCGGUGUAGGAUGAGCUCGCGGCCUAUCAGCUUGUUGGUGGGGUAAUGGGCUACCAAAGCGGCGACGGGUAGCCGGCCUGAGGGGGUGGACGGCCACAAUGGGACUGAGGAACGGGCCAGACUCCUACGGGAGGCAGCAGUGGGGAAUAUUGAACAAUGGGCGCAAGCCUGAUGCAGAGAAGCCUCGUGGGGGAUUACGGCCUUCGGGUUGAAAACUCCUUUCGCUAGGGACGAAGCUUUUUGUGACGGUACCUAGAGAAGAAGCACCGGCUAACUACGUG
Molecule: ribosomal RNA, 465 nt
Filed under: uncultured bacterium
Lineage: Bacteria
Description: partial 16S ribosomal RNA
Rfam family: Bacterial small subunit ribosomal RNA
Source: RNAcentral